GACGAACGCUGGCGGCGUGCCUCAGACAUGCAAGUCGAACGAUUAAAGCUCUCUUCGGAGAGUGCAUAAAGUGGCGCACGGGUGAGUAACACGUAAGUAAUCUACCUUCGAGUGGGGAAUAACGUCCGGAAACGGACGCUAAUACCGCAUAACGCAGCGGCAUCGCAAGAUGACAGUUGUUAAAGAUUUAUCGCUUGAAGAGGAGCUUGCGGCAGAUUAGCUGUUGGUAAGGUAACGGCUUACCAAGGCUACGAUCUGUAUCCGGUCUAAGAGGACGGUCGGACACACUGACACUGAAUAACGGGUCAGACUCCUACGGGAGGCAGCAGUCGGGAAUUUUGGGCAGUGGGGGGAAACCC
This 359-nucleotide ribosomal RNA is filed under the name uncultured bacterium. RNAcentral describes it as "bacterial SSU rRNA". It matches the Rfam family "Bacterial small subunit ribosomal RNA", at positions 28 to 384 of the family's 1533-position model. The record is from RNAcentral.